GCUAUCUUGGCAGAUUAGUGCAAUAAAUUUAGAAUUUAGGGAUGUAGUUUUUACUACAGUUAGCA
This 65-nucleotide transfer RNA is filed under the name Ptosima chinensis. RNAcentral's name for it is "tRNA-Leu". Lineage: Eukaryota; Metazoa; Arthropoda; Insecta; Coleoptera; Buprestidae. The record is from RNAcentral.